GCAAACUUGGUCAUUUAGAGGAAGUAAAAGUCGUAACAAGGUUUCCGUAGGUGAACCUGCGGAAGGAUCAUUAAAGAGUUAGGGUCCUCUGGGCCCGACCUCCCAACCCUUUGUUUACUGAACCUCUGUUGCUUCGGCGGACCCGCCUCACGGCCGCCGGAGGAUCGCCCCCAGGCGUCCUCUGGCCAGCGUCCGCCGACAGCCACUCUCAAAACUCUUGAAUAAAUCAUGUCAUUGUCUAAGUUGUGAUGCAAAUCAAUAAAGCAAAACUUUCAACAACGGAUCUCUUGGUUCUGGCAUCGAUGAAGAACGCAGC
Molecule: unclassified non-coding RNA, 316 nt
Filed under: uncultured fungus
Lineage: Eukaryota; Fungi
Description: partial contains small subunit ribosomal RNA, internal transcribed spacer 1, and 5.8S ribosomal RNA
Rfam family: Eukaryotic small subunit ribosomal RNA (bases 1-73)
Source: RNAcentral